This 460-nucleotide ribosomal RNA is filed under the name uncultured bacterium. RNAcentral's name for it is "partial 16S ribosomal RNA". It matches the Rfam family "Bacterial small subunit ribosomal RNA", at positions 338 to 795 of the family's 1533-position model. The record is from RNAcentral.
CCUACGGGUGACAGCAGUGAGGAAUAUUGGUCAAUGGGCGGAAGCCUGAACCAGCCAAGUAGCGUGCAGGAUGACGGCCCUACGGGUUGUAAACUGCUUUUAUCCGGGAAUAACGCGCCUUACGUGUAGGUCUUUGCAUGUACCUUAUGAAUACGGACCGGCUAAUUCCGUGCCAGCAGCCGAGGUAAUACGGAAGGUCCGGGCGUUAUCCGGAUUUAUUGGGUUUAAAGGGAGCGUAGGCCGCAUGUUAAGCGUGCUGUGAAAUGUCCGGGCUCAACCCGGGCAUUGCAGUGCAAACUGGCGUGCUUGAGUCCGCGUAAGGCAGGCGGAAUUCGGCGUGUAGCGGUGAAAUGCUUAGAUAUGACGAAGAACCCCGAUUGCGAAGGCAGCUUGCUGCAGCGGAACUGACGCUGAUGCUCGAAAGCGCGGGUAUCGAACAGGAUUAGAUACCCGGGUAGUC